AACAAACGCUGGCGGCGUGCCUAAUACAUGCAAGUCGAACGAGGUAGCAAUACCUAGUGGCGCACGGGUGAGUAACGCGUGGAUAAUCUGCCUUUGAGUGGGGGAUAACUAGUCGAAAGAUUAGCUAAUACCGCAUAAGACCACGGGAACUGAGGUUCUAGGGGUUAAAGGUUUUUCGCUCAUAGAUGAGUCCGCGUGAGAUUAGCUAGUUGGUGAGGUAACGGCUCACCAAGGCGACGAUCUCUAACUGGUCUGAGAGGAUGAUCAGUCACACUGGAACUGAGACACGGUCCAGACUCCUACGGGAGGCAGCAGUAGGGAAUAUUGCACAAUGGAGGAAACUCUGAUGCAGCGACGCCGCGUGAGUGAUGAAGGCUUUCGGGUCGUAAAGCUCUGUCGCAGGGGAAUAACACAAUGAAUGUACCCUGUAAGAAAGGAUCGGCUAACUUCGUGCCAGCAGCAGCCGCAG
This 469-nucleotide ribosomal RNA is filed under the name uncultured bacterium. RNAcentral's name for it is "partial 16S ribosomal RNA". It matches the Rfam family "Bacterial small subunit ribosomal RNA", at positions 29 to 523 of the family's 1533-position model. The record is from RNAcentral.